Molecule: ribosomal RNA, 497 nt
Filed under: uncultured bacterium
Lineage: Bacteria
Description: partial 16S ribosomal RNA
Rfam family: Bacterial small subunit ribosomal RNA
Source: RNAcentral
GACGAACGCUGGCGGCGUGCCUAAUACAUGCAAGUAGAACGCUGAAGAGAGGAGCUUGCUCUUCUUGGAUGAGUUGCGAACGGGUGAGUAACGCGUAGGUAACCUGCCUUGUAGCGGGGGAUAACUAUUGGAAACGAUAGCUAAUACCGCAUAACAAUGGAUGACACAUGUCAUUUAUUUGAAAGGGGCAAUUGCUCCACUACAAGAUGGACCUGCGUUGUAUUAGCUAGUAGGUGAGGUAAUGGCUCACCUAGGCGACGAUACAUAGCCGACCUGAGAGGGUGAUCGGCCACACUGGGACUGAGACACGGCCCAGACUCCUACGGGAGGCAGCAGUAGGGAAUCGUCGGCAAUAGGGGCAACCCUGACCGAGCAACGCCGCGUGAGUGAAGAAGGUUUUCGGAUCGGAAAGCUCUGUUGUAAGUCAAGAACGGGUGUGAGAGUGGAAAGUUCACACUGUGACGGUAGCUUACCAGAAAGGGACGGCUAACUACGUG